AAAUAGUAGCUCAAGAGCUUCCGAUCACUAAUGUAGUCAAACAGCACGGUCAUGAUCUCUCGGGAGCUCAACCGAACGGUCUUGAUGUCUCGAGUGCACCAACUAACGGUGGGUCUGCAAAUACCUAAAUCAGCCCCGAAGAGAAAAAAAGAAGAUACAAAGACAAAGAUGUGAUUGAAAUUUUGAUAUCUUUCUAUGUUGUUCUGUGUUUUAAUACUUUUUAAAUUUUCUAAAUCGUCCUACCCUUAACUUUAGUAUCUUUACAUAUUUUUAUGUUUUCUCUGCUUUUACUUCUUGUAUUUUGAAAUUUCAAGGAAAAUAAUGAAUGAAUCAUUUGGUAAAAUUUGCGCUUAAAACAAAAACAAUUGUCAAAAUGUUACCCAAAAAACAAUUGUCAAAUCCUAUAGAAUCCAAGAAUCUAGUGUCAAAAUUUGGAUAUUUCUUUUACUAAAAGGUUUUCGUAUUUAAAUAUUUUUGAUUUUUUUUGUAUAUAUGAAAAUAAUUUUAUUUUUUUUUAAAACAAUAUAAAAGCUCAUAAGCCUCUAAUGGGCUCAAAAAAAGCAGAUCUAAACUGGAAAACCCACAAAAAGGUCCAAAUCAAUUAACCUCCAAACCCUUAGCUUCCACUUGAAACAUAUUUGCCGUUGGAAACACGCACUCGCCAAAAAGUUAGGACCGCCAAGGCCACCUGAAAGUAAAAAGAAGACGGAGCACUAGAAAGGACCAGUACAAGCCCACACCUGCAAACGCCCUUAACUUUAGUAUCUUUACAUAUUUUUAUGUUUUCUCUGCUUUUACUUCUUGUAUUUUGAAAUUUCAAGGAAAAUAAUGAAUGAAUCAUUUGGCAAAAUUUGCGCCUAAAACAAAAACAAUUGUCAAAAUGUUACCCAAAAAACAAUUGUCAAAUCCUAUAGAAUCCAAGAAUCUAGUGUCAAAAUUUGGAUAUUUCUUUUACUAAAAGGUUUUCGUAUUUAAAUAUUUUUGAUUUUUUUUAGGAGCUAUGGUAAUGACUUUGUACAAAGGUCCGGCGAUCGAAAUCGUGAAAGCUGCACAUUCUUCCUUCCACGGCGGCUCAACCACAGCCACUGGCCAGCACUGGGUCACCGGAACCUUAGCCAUCAUGGGAAGUAUCUCCACAUGGGCUGCUUUCUUCAUUUUACAGGUAUAACUAGUUAAUUUUUAUUUUUUAGCAAAAAAAAAACUAGUUAAUUAAUGUUUAAAUAAAAAAGAAAUCAACAAACAUGCAUUAUACGGUUUUAUAAAUUAUCAAAAUAAUUUUCUGUUUUCAGUCGUUCACGUUGAAACUUUACCCGGCUGAGCUAUCCCUAGUGACGUUGAUAUGUGGGAUCGGAACGAUCCUAAAUUUUGCCGUUUCGAUGAUAUUUGUCCGUGACUUAAGCGCCUGGAAAAUCGGCAUGGAUUCCGGGACACUCGCAGCCGUUUACUCCGUAAGUUAAUCAUCUAUUAGUCACUGGUUAAUUUUAAUCAAUUCUGUAUAAUAAACCUUAUUAUUUGAUUAAAAAAUACUUAUUAUUAUGUGGGAUAUUUCAGGGAGUGGUUUGUUCAGGCAUCGCGUAUUACAUACAAAGCAUUGUGAUAAAGCAACGUGGCCCUGUGUUUACCACGUCGUUUAGUCCUAUGUGUAUGGUUAUUACUUCAUUCCUCGGUGCCCUUGUUUUGGCUGAGAAAAUCCACCUCGGAAGGUAAUUAAGAUUUCUUUCUAUUAUGUUAAUAACUAAGAUAAGUAUAAUUAACAAGUAAUUAACGUUUUAGAGGGUACUGUUGUGACUAUGCAGUAUAAUUGGAGCAGUUUUCAUCGUCAUUGGACUAUAUAGUGUGGUCUGGGGAAAAAGCAAAGAUGCAGUGAAUCCCUUGGAUGAGAAAAUAGUAGCUCAAGAGCUUCCGAUCACUAAUGUAGUCAAACAGCACGGUCAUGAUCUCUCGGGAGCUCAACCGAACGGUCUUGAUGUCUCGAGUGCACCAACUAACGGUGGGUCUGCAAAUACCUAAAUCAGCCCCGAAGAGAAAAAAAGAAGAUACAAAGACAAAGAUGUGAUUGAAAUUUUGAUAUCUUUCUAUGUUGUUCUGUGUUUUAAUACUUUUUAAAUUUUCUAAAUCGUCCUACCCUUAACUUUAGUAUCUUUACAUAUUUUUAUGUUUUCUCUGCUUUUACUUCUUGUAUUUUGAAAUUUCAAGGAAAAUAAUGAAUGAAUCAUUUGGUAAAAUUUGCGCCUAAAACAAAAACAAUUGUCAAAAUGUUACCCAAAAAACAAUUGUCAAAUCCUAUAGAAUCCAAGAAUCUAGUGUCAAAAUUUGGAUAUUUCUUUUACUAAAAGGUUUUCGUAUUUAAAUAUUUUUGAUUUUUUUGUAUAUAUGAAAAUAAUUUUAUUUUUUUUUAAAACAAUAUAAAAGCUCAUAAGCCUCUAAUGGGCUCAAAAAAAACAGAUCUAAACUGGAAAACCCACAAAAAGGUCCAAAUCAAUUAACCUCCAAACCCUUAGCUUCCACUUGAAACAUAUUUGCCGUCGGAAACACGCACUCGCCAAAAAGCUAGGACCGCCAAGGCCACCUGAAAGUGAAAAGAAGACGGAGCACUAGAAAGGACCAGUACAAGCCCACACCUGCAAACCCUCUUAACUUUAGUAUCUUUACAUAUUUUUAUGUUUUCUCUGCUUUUACUUCUUGUAUUUUGAAAUUUCAAGGAAAAUAAUGAAUGAAUCAUUUGGUAAAAUUUGCGCCUAAAACAAAAACAAUUGUCAAAAUGUUACCCAAAAAACAAUUGUCAAAUCCUAUAGAAUCCAAGAAUCUAGUGUCAAAAUUUGGAUAUUUCUUUUACUAAAAGGUUUUCGUAUUUAAAUAUUUUUGAUUUUUUUUGUAUAUAUGAAAAUAAUCAUUUGAUUUUUUUUAUUUUGUAUAUAUGAAAAGGUCCAAAUCAAUUAACCUCCAAACCCUUAGCUUCCACUUGAAACAUAUUUGCCGUCGGAAACACGCACUCGCCAAAAAGCUAGGACCGCCAAGGCCACCUGAAAGUGAAAAAGAAGACGGAGCACUAGAAAGGACCAGUACAAGCCCACAAAAACUGGCUUGUUUGUGGCUUUCUGGUCAUGAAAUGUCAUAAACAAAAUAUGGCCAUAAUAUUUGCCACGAUUUGACAAAAAUAUCUCUUGUACUUUGGAAAAAGUAAUAGCAAAAAUUUAGACAGAAAAAUUGCUCAAACUAUCCUCUUUGCUAUGCAAUUUCUGUUUUUCUGUUUGAUUCAAAGUUGUUAUCUUUAGCUUUUAUAUUGUCUCAGAGUGAUCAGAUCCAUUAAAAUCAUUCCUACAAUACAAUGUUUUUAUUUUUUGUUGUAUCUAUAUUUCUCUCAAAAUUUUAACGGUGAAAAAUUAAAUUUUUAAGAAAAUCACUUCAACGGUUUGUCUCAAGAAGGUAGCCAUAUCUUGUGAUCAAAAACUACAAAAUAGCUCCGAAAAUAUGUGGGUCGUGGGAGCACAUAAAAGGUCCUCAAGAUCUCAGAAGAAAAGCAAUAUCUGAUGAAAGAGAAGUAAAGUCUCCCAUUGGUUCCAAAACUUCUCAAUAAGACUUCAAACGGAUCGAGGACCAGCUGGUUCUAUGUUCUGCAGAGUUCAUUGGAGCAUUAUAUCAUUGCAACUUACUCAUAUGUUGAAAUUGCAAAGGAGCUAUGGGACACACUGUUGAGUGUGUAUGUGAACACACCUCUAAUUUGAGCAGAAUUUUUGAUGUGAAGAAGGCUUUCAAUGACUCCAAGAAGAAUCAAUUAAGAACUUUUUGGGAGACAAAAAUCUGUUGCUUGAGCUAGAUAUGUUCAGACCUCCUACAACUUAUGUGCAUGAGAUAAUGGAAACGUGGGAGCUGAACCAUGUAUUUGGACUCCUCCUCACUAUUAAUAGAUCAUUCAAAGGAAUGAUUCAAUAAAACUAUAAGGUUUGAGAAACUGCAAAACUUAAAUGAAUUAUGCAUAAUGAUCCAAUAAGAAAAGGGAUCAAUGGAAUUCUUUCAAUGAAAAAAUGAAAUAGCUUAUGUAAUCCAUGAGUUUCCUUAGCUAUAACAAAGGAGAAGUGCAUGGUUGUGUGGCCACUACAAGGAGAAGAGACACUAUGUACAGUUGUUGGAUUCUCCAUCCACAUUAAAGUAAAGGAACAUAAAGUAAUGGCUCAUACCUAUAGAAGAGCAGAUAGAUAUACUGUGAGUCUCCCCACAACUCUUAAUGAUAAGGUCAUGAGAAGAUUUGACUUUGAGGCUCUAAUCAAGAAAAUAGUCAAACUUGGUGAAUAUGGAAAGAGUUUUAAAAUCUCUAAGACUCAAAAGCAGGUUAUAGUAGACUCUAGCGCCUCAUAUCACAUGAUUAGUGAUACGAAGUUGUUCGCAAAUGUUAAAACAUAAAUUGGGAAAUUUUAUAAUAGCAAAUGGACAUAUGUGUUGAUUAGAGGAAUUUUAUAUUUAGAAAUGUUUAAGAAGAACACCAUAGUUUUAUUUAUGCUAGAUUUCACUUCUAAUCUACUAUAUGAUAACAAAGCGACCAAGGGCCUUGAUUCUUGACUAUUGUUAGUCCAAUGAUUUGGGGUUUUAGGAUAAUAACGUAUGGAAUACCAUUGGGAAAGGUUGCUCCAAAGGUGGUCUCUAUAUUUUGGAGUUUUUAGAAAAAAAAUAAACUUGUAGUAGAUGUUGUUGCUAAUCACUGCACUAAACUCAUGCAUUCUCACAUAAAGCUCUCUAACACAUCAUCAAAAUUUUGAAGAAUGUAUUCUCAGGAAACAUUGUUUGAUGAUUGCUUUGAUAUGGUUCACUUUGAUGUAUGGACAACACCUUAUGUACUCCUAAUCAAUUAAAUAUUGUGUUUUCUUAAUUGAUAAGAAGUCCAAAUACACAUCGCUUAGUCUCAUGCCACUAAAGAGUCAAGCCAUUGAGGCAUUUUCCAAGUUUAUAAGUAUGUUCUCACUCAGUUUGGGUUAAUAUUAAGUUCUUUAUGAGUGAUAAUAGAGGAGAGUACAUGUGAAAUGCAUUUAAUGAUUUGUUGGGGAAGCACGGGAUUGUACAUCAAACAUCUUGUGCAUCUACAAUAGACAUAUGAUAGAGGUUUCUAGAAUAAUGAUGUUUGGUUAAAGUGUUCCAAAGCAAAAUUGGUAAGAUGCGAUGAUGACUUCCUGUUAUCUCAUCAAAAUUUUAACAACCAUUGACCUUAGAAUGUGUUUUCAUAUGAAGUAUAGAACACAGUAAAACCAAAAUUUGAUAAUCUUAGAGUUUGUGGUUGAGUUUGCUAUGUUUUUUCAUCAAAAUCACACAUAAAAAAUUUAAAACCUAAGAGUACAAAGUGUAUGUUCAUUUUAUCAGUUAAGAAAGGGUACAAAUGUUAUAAUCCAUACUUCAAAGAAUCUUCUGCCGUAAGUUCAAGUUUGAUAAAGGCGAGUCGUGGUUAUUUAGUGACACAUUGAACAAUUUGACAUCCUCUAUUAACAGAUCCUCCGAUCUAUUACUUAUUUAUAUGGGUUAAGUACAUUGGUGGGUUCGGAAUAUCAACUCAUUGUGUGUGAAGAAACAUAUCAAUAGGCUUUAGCCAAUGAUUAUAGGCAUAUUAAAUCUCAAAAAGAGAGAGACAACAUUGAUGACAAAUUUGCAAAGAAAUGAGUGUUAUGUAAAAGUUCAUUGGAGAAUGUUGUAGUGGAAGAUUAAGAGGAGACUGAGUCUGAUGAAGAAUCUCCAACUUUUCUAGGUAGAAGUACAUGAUGAUCAUGUUUAAUGACAAUCAAGUUGUUGCUCAUCUUAUUCAGAGACAUUGCAGCUGGUCUUUCUAUUCAGACAUUAACAUUUGAUCUUCCUAUUCUGAGUCAUUGCACAAUUUUUCAUAUUCCACAAGAGCACCAAUACAUGAUACCCACAAGCUAUUAAUAGGGUUGUUUAUUUUAAGUGUGGGUUCAAGCUAUGGCGUACAAAAUUACUUCCAUGAGCAAUCUAUACUAUCAAGUAUACAAGCUCAGGAGAGAUAGAAAAGUACAAGGCGUGAUUAGCGACCAGCUAAUACAAUAAGAAUUAUGUAGUAGAUAACACAACAACAUUUUCCCAAUAGUAAAAUUUCACUCAGUACGGAUUUUUCUCUCCAUUGCCACCAAUUUAUCUUGGGAUAUUUGGCAAAUAGAUGUCAAAAAUAUUUUUCUUCAAGAAGACAUGAAAUAACAAAUUUCUAUAGUUCAUUAUGAGGGCUUUCAUGAGAUUUCCAAUAGCAUCAAGGUUUUGUAAAUUUAACAAAGCAAUCUAUGGUUCCAAGUAAUCUCCAAGAGAUUGGUACCAUAGGCUAAGUAGUUAUCUUAUUGAAAAUGGUUUUUGCAUAUUAGAAAAAGUUGACAACACAUUAUUCACCAUCCAUGGAAACUGGGAUUGUCGUUAUGCUCACAUAUAUGUGGAUAAUAAUAUCAUCAAUGGUGAUGAUGUUAAUGAAGUUAAGAAAAUUAAGAAUUUUCAAAUCUAGAAUAAUGAUGUUUGGUUAAAGUGUUCCAAAGCAAAAUUGGUAAGAUGCGAUGAUGACUUCCUGUUAUCUCAUCAAAAUUUUAACAACCAUUGACCUUAGAAUGUGUUUUCAUAUGAAGUAUAGAACACAGUAAAACCAAAAUUUGAUAAUCUUAGAGUUUGUGGUUGAGUUUGCUAUGUUUUUUCAUCAAAAUCACACAUAAAAAAUUUAAAACCUAAGAGUACAAAGUGUAUGUUCAUUUUAUCAGUUAAGAAAGGGUACAAAUGUUAUAAUCCAUACUUCAAAGAAUCUUCUGCCGUAAGUUCAAGUUUGAUAAAGGCGAGUCGUGGUUAUUUAGUGACACAUUGAACAAUUUGACAUCCUCUAUUAACAGAUCCUCCGAUCUAUUACUUAUUUAUAUGGGUUAAGUACAUUGGUGGGUUCGGAAUAUCAACUCAUUGUGUGUGAAGAAACAUAUCAAUAGGCUUUAGCCAAUGAUUAUAGGCAUAUUAAAUCUCAAAAAGAGAGAGACAACAUUGAUGACAAAUUUGCAAAGAAAUGAGUGUUAUGUAAAAGUUCAUUGGAGAAUGUUGUAGUGGAAGAUUAAGAGGAGACUGAGUCUGAUGAAGAAUCUCCAACUUUUCUAGGUAGAAGUACAUGAUGAUCAUGUUUAAUGACAAUCAAGUUGUUGCUCAUCUUAUUCAGAGACAUUGCAGCUGGUCUUUCUAUUCAGACAUUAACAUUUGAUCUUCCUAUUCUGAGUCAUUGCACAAUUUUUCAUAUUCCACAAGAGCACCAAUACAUGAUACCCACAAGCUAUUAAUAGGGUUGUUUAUUUUAAGUGUGGGUUCAAGCUAUGGCGUACAAAAUUACUUCCAUGAGCAAUCUAUACUAUCAAGUAUACAAGCUCAGGAGAGAUAGAAAAGUACAAGGCGUGAUUAGCGACCAGCUAAUACAAUAAGAAUUAUGUAGUAGAUAACACAACAACAUUUUCCCAAUAGUAAAAUUUCACUCAGUACGGAUUUUUCUCUCCAUUGCCACCAAUUUAUCUUGGGAUAUUUGGCAAAUAGAUGUCAAAAAUAUUUUUCUUCAAGAAGACAUGAAAUAACAAAUUUCUAUAGUUCAUUAUGAGGGCUUUCAUGAGAUUUCCAAUAGCAUCAAGGUUUUGUAAAUUUAACAAAGCAAUCUAUGGUUCCAAGUAAUCUCCAAGAGAUUGGUACCAUAGGCUAAGUAGUUAUCUUAUUGAAAAUGGUUUUUGCAUAUUAGAAAAAGUUGACAACACAUUAUUCACCAUCCAUGGAAACUGGGAUUGUCGUUAUGCUCACAUAUAUGUGGAUAAUAAUAUCAUCAAUGGUGAUGAUGUUAAUGAAGUUAAGAAAAUUAAGAAUUUUCAAAGCCUCAUCUGAGAUAAAUGACCUAAAAGACAUAAAGUACUUUCUUUUGAUUGAAAUAUGUAAAUUUAAUGACUGGUUAAAGAAAGUAUACCCUUGUUAUCAGAUUCAUGGAAGAAUGGACAAAUCCUGCAAAACUCCUAUUGAAGAUAGCUACAAGGCCUUACCUAAGAGGGAUCCGCUUAUGGAAGUUAAGUAGUAUUAAAGAUUUGUUGGGAAGUUGAUCUACUUGACUAUCACGAGACUAGACAUAUCUUUUUUUAUGAAUCAAGUAAGCUAACACAUGCAAGUUCAAACUAAACACCAUUGUCAUAUGGUUGAGAGACUCUCGAGAUACUUGAAAGGCACACAAGGUAAACACAUUUGGGUGGGUUAAAAUAAUAGUUAUACCACAAUAGUUAUACCAAGUUUUACAGUUUUAACAAGUUUUAAAGUUUACCACUAUAGUUUUACCAAGUUCUACUAACCUAAUUACACUAAAUUUUACAUUUUUACUGUUCAACUAAUACUAAGUUAUAUUAGUUGUACCAAUGUAGUUUUACCAAGCUAUACAAAGUUAUACCAUUAGUGAUGGGUAUGAGUUGAAUAUACUAGAUGAUAACCCGCACAAAUGCUCAGAGUGAGUUUUUUAUACAAAUGUUUGUUCAUUAAAUGGUUUUAACAUUUUGCAACACUACAAUCUUUAUCGAUUGUAAAAUGACGAAUAAAAAUGUUGGUCUAUUAAAUAUAUCAUCGUUUUUGAAGAGUUAACAUGGUACAACUCAUUUUAAUUAUUUCUAAGACUUCAUAUGCACAAAAAGAAAUUAAGUUUUGCGGCUGAAACAAAUCACCAAAACCAGAUAGGCAACAUCGAUUGUAAAAUGACGAAAGGGAUUAGGUUUUCUUCUCUCGAUUUAUUUACUAUUGACUCUACAUAAGUGAUUUCAUUUUUUACAUCUAUAAAAUUGUGCUUUUGUUCUCGUUUCUUUUUCACUUGUAUGAGUUUUGUUUCUUUUUUUUAACUUUUUUGUGAAUUCGGUAAAUUACAUAAGUGUCAAAUUAAUAAGAUGGGCAUCUGUAAAAAUUAUUUCCACUCCAAAUACAUAUAUAAAAAUCAAAAUUUUGAAGAAAAUCACUAUUCACAGAUUAGUUUUCAUAUCUAAUAUGUCAAACUGUUAUAGAAUAUAAGUGCAUACUCAAAAUAUAAAUGUAUGUCUAGUAUAUGUUCACCAGUCGGUCUAAAAAUCAUCUUCUAGAACGACAAAACAAAUUACUUAUUUUAUUAACCUACGAUUUUAAUGUUUAGUUACUUAAGACUUAUACCGAUAAAAUAUAUAUAUAUAUAUAUAUAAUAUUAUUUUACCAUUGUAGUAUAUGUAAAAUAUGUAUAAAAUAAGAACUGUUUGAUUUAUUAUAUGAAAAACCAAAAAAACUUAUAAUAAAUUGUUUAAAUCUACCGUUUUUACAAUUAUAAUAGGUAGAUAUGGUAUUAUGGAAAAAAAUAUUAGACAAUUGAUCAAAUCUCUCAUUCGAACAAAAUCAAAAUGAGGUGAUUGGAAUCUUGUCAUGAUAUUUCAUUAAAAGCUUUUCAGGAAUAAUAAUCAAGACUAAAUUAUUUAAUCUGAAUGAAAUAAUAUAUAUAUAUAUAUAUAUAUAUAUAUAAUGCUUCCAAUAUUAAAAAUCACUUUGAUUUAAAGAAGUGUAUUUCUAGGAUUGUCAAGAUCUAAUAACAUAUUAGAAACCACCUAUUUAAAAAAUAAUUUGUAUACAUAAAAGUAUAUACAUUAGAGUAAGCAAAUAAAUAAAAAAAAAUAUCUUUUUUUAUUUACAAUCAUGUUUUUGGUAAAAUAAAUCCAAACAAUCAUUUUUAUUUACUUUAUCUGGUAUAUAAUUAAAAUUUAGUGAUAUUGAAAUAGACAUAUAUAUAUAGUAUAUUUUAAUAUAAAUAUUUAUUAUUGACGCUUCCUAGUCAUAUGAUUUUAUUAACAUUUCUAUAUAUGCUGUUGAAAAAAUUUAAAUUGUUACUCAAAAAAAUUUUAAUGUGAGAUUUUUCAAUACAAAUUUCAAAAUUAAAAUACUAAGAUCUCAAUAAUUUUUUCAAUGCAAAUUUUAAAACUAACAUUUUUAAAUAUUGUUAUAUAGUAUAUAAUUUAAUAUAUAUAUAAAUAUCUACUAAUGAGAUUUCAUAUUCAUACGAUCUACGAUCAUUUGUAUCUUGCUUGAAAAAGAAAAAAGUUCAACAAUUUAUCACAAAAUUUUCAGUGUGGGAUUUUUACCAUUUUUAGUAAUUUAUAGUAUUUUUAAUAAAAUAUCAUGACAAAAUUCCAUAUUCUCAGUUUCAUGUUUAUUUUAAUAUAAUAUCUAUAUUUUUGUUUGUUUUCAUAUGACAUCUAAAAGUAUACUUGAACCAAAUUUACCCAAACACGAAAAGUAUAGUUACAAAACAAGUUUUGAAAUGUAUUAGAAUCUAAACUGUUACUAACCGAACUCGAUCGGAACUAAAGUAAUAUCCGACUGAACCUAAAAAUCACGACCCAAACCAAAUGGUACCCCCACGCGCAAGCCUAAUUUAAGCUAUACACGAAAUGCAAACAAGUGAAGAUUUUUACCUUGCAGCAAACUCAAUGCAUGUUUUUGAAAACUAGAAUAUCAUAUUAAUCAUAAGCAACUUCAUUGACUAAACAUACGGCAUUCACAGAAAAUCGAAAGCAUUGUUUUUAACAUUUCAACCAAAAAAAAAUCUAUAGCAUUGUUAUUUAAAUAGUUUCUUCCUGAAGAGUCUAGUACAUAUGAUAAUAAAUUAAUAAUAUAAAUUGUGUAUAACUAAAGGUUCGAAUGGUAACAUACAGAAAAACUAUGAAACAAUUACGGUACAUUUUUAAUAGCAACAAAAUAUAUAAAUACAUAGAUAUAUGUAGAGAUUUUUGGUUACAAUUAACUGUUGUGCGCUGCAGUGCGGUUUGUAAACAUUCAAAAUCUAUCAAAGGAAUAAUAGUUUAAAAGUACUUAAGUUUUUUUUUUUUUUUUUUUUUUUUUUGACAGCAAACAUUUACAGACUCAUGUAGACUCUGUAAACCAAGGUGGUAAAUCUGCAUCCAUGUGCACGACGAAAGACGAUUGUUGCCGAGCACUACGUGCCAAGCUAUCCGCCCUUUUGUUCUCCGUCCUAGGAACAUGAACGAUUUCUGAGCUGACAAAACUUUGUCGCAGAAGCUUGAUAUCUUCCAGGUAGCUUUCAAAUGCUGGCCAUUCCUCUGGUUCCGAAACCAUCUUCACCAGUUGAGAACAAUCCGUUGCAAACGUAACCUGAAACUGCCUUAAAUUUCGCAUACAUUCCAUUGCCCAAAUUAAUGCCUCCAUCUCCGAAUGAAGAGGUGAGAGGGAUGCCCUUACAUUUCGUGCCCCCUAAAAGUACUUAAGUUACUAUGAUAAUAUUUGAUAAGAAAUGUUUUCCCUUCUUUUUUCCUUUUUCAAUUUUCAACUUUCUAAUUAUAUAAAUACUUAGCAAUAUAUUAAACACAAAGAAAAAUAUGUAUUUUAAUAUGACUUAUUCUUAGGUCCACCCCUUAGGGUGAACCUCUAGGUUCACCAACCAAUAGGAUUCUUUUAUUUUAUAUUCGAUAUCUUUUAAAAAAGGAAACAAAAUAUUGUCAAAUUAUAUUAUGUUUUUAAAAUUAAAAAGUAAAAAAAAAUAGUAAUAAUUACAAAAAAAAAUAUUUUACGUCGUCAGCAUAACAUUAAACCCUAAACCCUAAAUUCUAAUCCCUAAACCCUUAAUCCUAAACCCUAAACCCUUGGAUAAACCCUAAACUCUAGGAUAAAUCCAAAACUCUAAAUCAAAAUUACUAUACACUAAAACAUUCAAACGUUUAGGGUUUUAGUGUUUUUUAUUUAGAGUUUAGGAUUUAUCCAAGGGUUUAGGGUUUACCAAAUGGUUUAGGGUUUACCCAAGGGUUUAGGAUUUAUCCAAGGGUUUAGGAUUUACCCAAGGGUUUAGGGUUUAUCCAAGGGUUUAGGGUUUAGGAUUUAGGGUUUAGGGAUUAGGAUUUAGGGUUUAGUAUUUUGUUGAGAACAUCAAAAAUAUUUUUUUUUUUAAUUCUUUUUUCUGUAACUAUUAUCUUUUUUUAUUUUAAAAACAUAAUAUAAUUUGAUAAUAUUUGGUUUCCUUUUUUAAAAGAUAUCGAAUUUGAAAUAAUGAAAUCCUAUUGGUUGGUGAACCUAGAGGUUCACCUUAGGGAGUGAACCCAAAAACGAUUCUUUUAAUAUUUCAAGAAUACAAAUUCUGUAUUAAAUAAAAAACUUUACACAUAUGUAUUUGGAAAAGGCCAAAAAAAAAUAAUUAUCGAGAAAUACAAACAUUGCAUAAGUGACAAUGAUGAGUUAGAUUCCGAGCAUCACGGGUUGCAAAGAAGGCUGACACAUUAGAAUACAACACCAUUACAUGACCUUUAAUUCGUUUCUAUUCUUACACUUCGGACUUACAGCCAAACCUUGUAAAAUAUAGGAUAAUAUACGUACAAGAACAUCAAUAUGUAUAACCCAACCCGUGACCUUUUUUUCUUUUCAUUUCUUUUGGAAAUGGUGACGAUUUAACGUCUCUGCUGACGUGGCAAGGAGAUUAUUUUGGUGAUUAGGGUUUUGAAGAUUUUGCCGCACGGUAAGGUUGUGGGGCCGAUUACGGCGCCGGAGAAUAUGGCCCCUCCAGGGCAGGAGAAGGAGAAUAGCAAGGUGGUGAUCGGAAAGGAUGUAAAGAAAACGUCGUGGGUUCAGGUUGGUCAGAACGAUGCUGGGCUCUCUGCUCAUAUUGUUGCUGUUAACACAGUUGAUGGAAAGGAAAUGGUUGAGGUUCCGGAUGCGGUAAUCCAACGAUCAGUUCAAUUAUGGGAUGACCUAAUUGAAGGAAGGUUUUUGUGACUGUUCCACACGUUGCAAAGAUUCACGCUCUUGUGAACAAGAUCUGGCCGCUUGGUGACAAAAUGAUUCUUAUUGACGUAUUCGUCAUAGACGUGAUGACUGUGAAGUUCCGUAUUAAAGAUGCAAAUACUAGGAGUCAAAUCCUUCGUAGGGGGAUGUGGUAUAUUUCCAAUAUCCCUAUGGUUGUCUCUAAGUGGGCACCAGAAGAGGAGGAAGAGGAAGAGGAGCAAGAAAUAAAACUCAUCCCGAUGUGGGUAGUGAUGAAGAAUGUUCCAAAACAGAUGUUCUCGUGGGAGGGUUUAGGGUUUAUCGCAAGUGCUGUGGGCCAUCAAAAACACCUCCAUCCAGAUACACUGUUAUGUAAGAGUUUCGUUGAAGCAAAAGUAUUUGUCGAGGCUGAUAUGACAAAAGAACUGCCUACAUCUCAUCACUUUAAGUCAAAGCUGGGAGUGGAUUUUGAUGUACAAUUCAAGUACCCAUGGCUACCAAACAAAUGCAAUCUUUGCUUGAAAUGGGGACAUGAGGAAAACGCUUGUGGAAAGAAGAAGAAAAAAGGAAAGGCCAACCAGCAGGAUCAAGUUAAUAAUACUGCUCCAGGCAACAGUACAACUAGCAUUGUAGAAAAGGAAGUUGAGACCAGCGUAGAGAGUGCUGUGGAAGCUGUUGACACGGUUGUUGAUAAGAACUCAGCUAGUGUCGAGGCAAAUGAGAAUGAGACUGAUGCAUUGGGAAACAUUGCAGAGAUGGGAGUUGAGGAACCAAGUCUUGCGAAGGACGGGUUGGUAAGGCUUGAUAAAAACGUCUUAGUCGAACUGACGGAGGGAACUGACUUAGCAAGCUCAGUAACAGAGACUACUACGGACCUCCCAGCACCUGUCACCGAAGAGUUAAGCUGGUUAAAUGUGUCUCCAUCCAAAAGGGGCUGGUCACCGGUAAAGCCGGUUGAAAACAACGUCAUCUCUCCAUCCCAUUUUGCUGUUCUGAAUGAAGAGUCCGAGGAUAAAGAGGAGGACAUAAAUUAUUCUCAGGAAAAAGGUGAGACACCUGGAAAAGCAGAGGCAGAGACAGGCACUAUCUCUCAGAAAGAUGAUGGCGAGAGUGAGGAGGGGGAGAUCAUAGAGAACUAAUCCAUCCAUGCUACCUUGCGUACAGAUACUUGCGAAGAUGAUCAAGCCAAUGAAGGGCUGAGUACUCGACGCACCUCUGUAAGAUCAUCUAAGGGAAUCAAUAAGAAUUCAGCUGAAUCUUUCGCUCAAAGCACCAAGGAACCUUUUCCUAGCGCUGCGAGUAAAAGACGUUACCAUAAGAAGAAAUAAUUAUGUCGGGUUUCUUCUGGAAUGUUAGAGGUUUUAACAAAACAAAAAAAGCAUUCCGUAGUGAAGAAAUAGGUUAUGGAGAAGGAAUUUAGUUUUGGAGCUUUGCUGGAAACUAGAGUCAAGUAAGGAAAAAGUCAGAGUAUUGCAUCAAAGGUCUUCUCGGACUGGUCGAUGUUAACAAAUUAUGAGUACAACACGCUGGGUAGGAUUUGGUUGGUGUGGCGACCUGACACGCGAUUUACUCCACUUUUUAAGAGUGAUUAACUGAUCACAGUUUCAGUGCAACUAGACAUGUGGGGAGAUGAUUUCUUUCUCUCUAUCGUCUAUGCAUACAACACAAGUUCUGAGCGUACAUAGUUAUGGAGAGAUCUGAAAGCACACCAGGAUUCUCCAAUAGUUCGCAACAAAUCAUGGCUUAUAGCUGGUGAUUUUAAUGAGACCCUGCUAUGGAGGAACAUUCCUCUUAUCAGGAUUCCCCAAUGGUAACUCAGGGAAUGAAAGAUUUCCAAGAGGUUGCCCAAUACUGCUCCUUGAUGGACCUAGCCUCGCAUGGUCCGCUGUUUACAUGGAGCAAUAAACAAGAUGAGGGUCUGAUAUCAAAGAAGUUAGACCGAGUCUUGUUCAAUGACCACUGGCUUAGUAUGUUUCGUCAUUCAUACAUUGUCUUUGAGGGAGUUGGAUGUUCUGACCACUCGAGGUGCAGAAUCCAGCUGCACUCUGUAGUACCUCGGCCUAACCGGCCUUUCAAGUUUGUGAAUGCCACAACGAGCUAAGAGGGAUUUAAGCCGGCAGUGGAUCAGUACUGGAGAGACUCGGAACCAAUACAUCUCUCGACUUUAUCACUGUUUUGUUUCUCAAAGAAACUGAAAGGCUUAAAGCCGAUUAUUCGACAAGUAGCUAAAGAUGGAUUAGGUAACUUAACGUUGAAAUCCAAAGAAGCUCUUGCCGUUCUCUGUGACAAACAGAAUUUGAAUCUGGCAAAUCCAACUCCUCAGAACAUGGAAGAAGAAAACAAAGCUUAUAAGAGAUGGGAUUUUGUUUCUGACUUGGAGGAAGAUUUUUUGAAGCAGAAAUCAAAAAUGCAUUGGUUGAAGAAGGGUGAUAAAAAAAACAAAUCAUUUCAUAGGGCAGCCACAAUCCGUGACAUCAGAAACUCUAUCAAAGAGAUUCAGUGUGCUGAUGGUAGUAUCCUAUCAAAUGCAGCAGAUAUCAAGAAUGAAGCAGAACAGUUUUUUCGUGAAUUUUUGCAGCAUAAACCGCAAGAUUACUUUGGAAUUACAGUGGAGGGUCUGAGAGAGUUACUGCCUUAUCGUUGUAGUGAUGCAGAGCAGACUCAACUGAUAAGAGAAGUGACAGCAGAGGAGAUCACAAAUGUCUUAUUCGCAAUGCCAAAUGAGAAAUCUCCGGGUCUAGACGGGUAUACUUCAGAAUUCUUCAAAGCGGCUUAGGAUGUUAUCGGUACUGAGUUCACCACCGCAGUUCAGUCGUUUUUCAUAAAAGGUUUUUUCCCAAAAGGAGUGAACACAAUCAUCCUGGCACUCAUACCAAAGAAGUUGGAGGCUCGGCACAUGAAAGAUUAUAGACUGAUCUCCUGCUGCAAUGUUAUCUAUAAAGUCAUUUCGAAGAUUAUUGCUAAUCGGCUGAAAGUAACUUUACCAGAUUUCAUUAGCCUCAACCAGUAUGCUUUUGUUAAGGAUCGAUUGCUCAUUGAAAAUCUCCUUCUUGCAACAGAGCUGGUUAAAGAUUAUCACAAAGAUUCAGUCUUUAAGAGAUGUGCGAUCAAGAUUGAUAUCUCGAAAGCUUUCGACUCUGGUGCAAUGGUCCUUUCUCCUUAACACACUUGGGGCUAUGAGCUUUCCUCCGAAAUUUAUUCACUGGAUCUCGCUGUGCAUAACUACUGCAUCUUUCUGAGUUCAGGUGAAUGGAGAACUUGCAGGUUUUUUCAAAAGUGAUAGAGGAUUACGUCAAGGCUGUGCUCUCUCGCCAUACCUUUUCGUCAUCAGUAUGAAUGUUCUUUCCCAACUCCUGGAUAAAUCAGCUAAGGAACGUAAGAUUGGGUACCAUCCAAAGUGCAAGAAUCUUAGAUUAACCCAUCUACGCUUUCCUGAUGAUAUUUUGGUUUUCACUGAUGGGAAUGUUCGGUGCACAGAUAGUAUUGUUGAAGUCUUUGAUAGCUUUGCCAGGAUGUCAGGCCUGCGCAUUAGCAUGGAGAAAUCAACUAUAUACUAUUAGGGAGUUCAGGACUCAACACACCAGGUAGUUCAAGCGCAGUAUCAGUUUGAAUCAGGUCAACUUCCGGUCCGUUAUCUCGGGCUUCCACUCCUCACCAAAAGAAUGGGAACUCAAGACUAUCAUCCUCUACUUGAACAGAUCAGGAAACACAUCAAUCUAUGGACAAAUCUUUUCUUGUCAAUGGCUGGUCGGCUUCAACUAAUAUGCUAUGUUCUUAUGAGUAUAAUAAACUUUUGGAUGUCCUCUUUUCGAUAACAAGGCGAAUGUCUCAGAGAAAUAGAUAGCCUCUGUUCAGCUUUUCUGUGGUCCGGCCCUGCAUUGAAUCCUAGGAAGGCUAAAAUAUCGUGGGGUAUUAUAGUCUGUCGGCCAAAGAAAGAAGGAGGGUUGGGACUAAAACCACUUAAAGAAGCAAACAUGGUGAGCUGCCUCAAAUUGGUGUGGCGAUUAACAUCACUGAAACCGUCUCUAUGGGUUAAGUGGGUUCAUUUAAACUUGAUCCAAGAUGGGAACUUCUGGACUGUUAUAGUACCACAUCUUUGGGGUCUUGGAUGUGGCGCAAACUGCUAAAGUAUAGAGACAAAGCGAAAAAAUUCACCGCAUGGAGAU
RNAcentral lists this long non-coding RNA (16898 nucleotides) under Brassica napus (rape). RNAcentral's name for it is "long non-coding RNA (BNAP_LNC006602)". Lineage: Eukaryota; Viridiplantae; Streptophyta; Magnoliopsida; Brassicales; Brassicaceae. The record is from RNAcentral.